Molecule: ribosomal RNA, 254 nt
Filed under: uncultured bacterium
Lineage: Bacteria
Description: partial 16S ribosomal RNA
Rfam family: Bacterial small subunit ribosomal RNA
Source: RNAcentral
GAUCAUGGCUCAGGACGAACGCUGGCGGCGUGCCUAACACAUGCAAGUCGAGCGGGGACACGGGGCUUCGGCGCUGUGUUCUAGCGGCGGACGGGUGAGUAACGCGUGAACAAUCUGUCCCAGACAGGGGGAUAACAACUGGAAACAGUUGCUAAUACCGCAUAAGACCACGGCCUCGCAUGGGGCUGGGGUAAAAGUGGGAACACGGUUUGGGGUGAGUUCGCGUCCCAUUAGCUGGUUGGCGGGUAACGGCC